AGACAGAGGUGGCAAGCGUUGUUCGGAAUUACUGGGCGUAAAGGGCGCGCAGGCGGUUCGCCAAGUCCCGUGUGAAAUCCCCCGGCUCAACUGGGGAACUGCGCGGGAAACUAGUGGACUUGAGUUCGGGAGAGGAAAGCGGAAUUCCGGGUGUAGCGGUGAAAUGCGCAGAUAUCCGGAGGAACACCAGUGGCGAAGGCGGCUUUCUGGACCGACACUGACGCUGAGGCGCGAAAGCUAGGGGAGCGAACGGGAUUAGAAACCCCGGUAGUCC
Molecule: ribosomal RNA, 274 nt
Filed under: uncultured bacterium
Lineage: Bacteria
Description: partial 16S ribosomal RNA
Rfam family: Bacterial small subunit ribosomal RNA
Source: RNAcentral